Molecule: ribosomal RNA, 406 nt
Filed under: uncultured bacterium
Lineage: Bacteria
Description: partial 16S ribosomal RNA
Rfam family: Bacterial small subunit ribosomal RNA
Source: RNAcentral
AUUGAACGCUAGCGGGAUGCUUUACACAUGCAAGUCGAACGAGUGGAGGACGGGUGAGUAAUGUCUGGGAAACUUCCUGAUGGAGGGGUAUCACUCCUGGAACCGGUAGCUACUACCGCAUACCCUCGGUUUUGCCCCGAGUGUAUUAGCUCGUAGGUGGGGUAAAGGCUAACCUAGGCGACGAUCCCUAGCUGGUCUGAGAGGAUGACCAGCCACACUGGAACUGAGACACGGACCAGACUCCUACGGGAGGAAGCAGUGGGGAAUAUUGCACAAGGGGCGCAAGCCUGAUACAGCCAUGCCGCGUGUAUGAAGAAGGCCUUCGGGUUGUAAAGUACUUUCAGCGGGGAGGCGGUACCCGCAGAAGAAGCACCGGCUAACUCCGUGCCAGCAGCCGCGGUAAUAC